Molecule: transfer RNA, 74 nt
Filed under: Microcaldota archaeon
Lineage: Archaea; Nanobdellati; Microcaldota
Description: tRNA-Cys
Rfam family: tRNA
About the family: Transfer RNA (tRNA) molecules are approximately 80 nucleotides in length. Their secondary structure includes four short double-helical elements and three loops (D, anti-codon, and T loops). Further hydrogen bonds mediate the characteristic L-shaped molecular structure. tRNAs have two regions of fundamental functional importance: the anti-codon, which is responsible for specific mRNA codon recognition, and the 3' end, to which the tRNAs corresponding amino acid is attached (by aminoacyl-tRNA synthetases). tRNAs cope with the degeneracy of the genetic code in two manners: having more than one tRNA (with a specific anti-codon) for a particular amino acid; and 'wobble' base-pairing, i.e. permitting non-standard base-pairing at the 3rd anti-codon position.
Source: RNAcentral
GGAGGGUUGGCAGAUCGGUUAUGCACCCGGCUGCAGACCGGGAGAACUGGGUUCAAUUCCCAGGCCCUCCUCCA